Molecule: long non-coding RNA, 357 nt
Organism: Conger conger (European conger)
Lineage: Eukaryota; Metazoa; Chordata; Actinopteri; Anguilliformes; Congridae
Exons: 4
Source: RefSeq, a predicted model, not a curated record
GGACGGGGACGACAAUACGGACAAUGAUGAAAACUGAAGAAUCAACAUCCCCUUCAGCCUUCUGUAAGACUUUUGAUCAACCUUUGAAAACUUGCAGUGAAGAAAGGAUAAAUGAGUUAUUUUAUUGCUAUGAAAAUGGAAAAAGUAACUCUGAAAAAAUAUAUUUAGACAAUGUUGAGAGUGUAAUUGGCUGCAUAGUCAAAGGGAAGACUCCGAUGUCAAACAUCCAGCAUUUCAGAGGUUCAGUGGCAAAACACCAGCGAAAGAAUUUUACUGAUCAUCAGCGUGGUAUCCCCUCAAUGCAAGGGAAUAAUAAGGAAACAGAUGAUGUUCAUGUGCAAAUUCCUCAAGAAGCCC